CAGCCGCCGCGGUAAUACGGAGGAUGCAAGCGUUAUCCGGAAUGAUUGGGCGUAAAGCGUCUGUAGGUGGUUUAUUAAGUCUACUGUUAAAGAUCAGGGCUUAACCCUGAGUCGGCAGUAGAAACUAAUGAGCUUGAGUACGGUAGGGGCAGAGGGAAUUCCCGGUGUAGCGGUGAAAUGCGUAGAGAUCGGGAAGAACACCAAUGGCGAAAGCACUCUGCUGGGCCGAAACUGACACUCAGAGACGAAAGCUAGGGGAGCGAAUGGGAUUAGAUACCCCCGUAGUCCCUGUCUCUUAUAC
RNAcentral lists this ribosomal RNA (301 nucleotides) under uncultured bacterium. Its description in RNAcentral is "partial 16S ribosomal RNA". It matches the Rfam family "Bacterial small subunit ribosomal RNA", at positions 509 to 807 of the family's 1533-position model. The record is from RNAcentral.